RNAcentral lists this ribosomal RNA (391 nucleotides) under uncultured bacterium. Its description in RNAcentral is "bacterial SSU rRNA". It matches the Rfam family "Bacterial small subunit ribosomal RNA", at positions 30 to 425 of the family's 1533-position model. The record is from RNAcentral.
AUUGAACGCUGGCGGCAUGCCUAACACAUGCAAGUCGAACGGCAGCGGACCUUCGGGUGCCGGCGAGUGGCGAACGGGUGAGUAAUAUAUCGGAACGUACCUUUCAGUGGGGGAUAACGUAGCGAAAGUUACGCUAAUACCGCAUAUUCUGUGAGCAGGAAAGCAGGGGAUCGCAAGACCUUGCGCUGAUUGAGCGGCCGAUAUCAGAUUAGCUAGUUGGUGAGGUAAAGGCUCACCAAGGCGACGAUCUGUAGCGGGUCUGAGAGGAUGAUCCGCCACACUGGAACUGAGACACGGUCCAGACUCCUACGGGAGGCAGCAGUGGGGAAUUUUGGACAAUGGGCGCAAGCCUGAUCCAGCCAUGCCGCGUGAGUGAAGAAGGCCUCGGUUG